Molecule: ribosomal RNA, 251 nt
Filed under: uncultured bacterium
Lineage: Bacteria
Description: partial 16S ribosomal RNA
Rfam family: Bacterial small subunit ribosomal RNA
Source: RNAcentral
GACGGGGGGGGCAAGUGUUCUUCGGAAUGACUGGGCGUAAAGGGCACGUAGGCGGUGAAUCGGGUUGAAAGUGAAAGUCGCCAAAAAGUGGCGGAAUGCUCUCGAAACCAAUUCACUUGAGUGAGACAGAGGAGAGUGGAAUUUCGUGUGUAGGGGUGAAAUCCGUAAAUAUACGAAGGAACGCCAAAAGCGAAGGCAGCUCUCUGGGUCCCUACCGACGCUGGGGUGCGAAAGCUAGGGGAGCAAACAGG